GACGAACGCUGGCGGCGUGCUUAACACAUGCAAGUCGAACGGAAAGGCCCUGCUUUUGUGGGGUGCUCGAGUGGCGAACGGGUGAGUAACACGUGAGUAACCUGCCCUUGACUUUGGGAUAACUUCAGGAAACUGGGGCUAAUACCGGAUAGGAGCUCCUGCUGCAUGGUGGGGGCUGGAAAGUUUCGGCGGUUGGGGAUGGACUCGCGGCGUAUCAGCUUGUUGGUGGGGUAGUGGCUUACCAAGGCUUUGACGGGUAGCCGGCCUGAGAGGGUGACCGGCCACAUUGGGACUGGGAUACGGCCCAGACUCCUACGGGAGGCAGCGGUGGGGAGUAGUACACAAUGGGCGGAAGCCUGAUGCAGCAACGCCGCGUGCGGGAUGACGGCCUUCGGGUUGUAAACCGCUUUCGCCUGUGACGAAGCGUGAGUGACGGUAAUGGGUAAAGAAGCACCGGCUAACUACGUG
This 468-nucleotide ribosomal RNA is filed under the name uncultured bacterium. Its description in RNAcentral is "partial 16S ribosomal RNA". It matches the Rfam family "Bacterial small subunit ribosomal RNA", at positions 28 to 507 of the family's 1533-position model. The record is from RNAcentral.